UCUCCGUUGGUGAACCAGCGGAGGGAUCAUUACUGAGUUUACAACUCCCAAACCCUUUGUGAACAUACCUUUUGUUGCCUCGGCAGAAGUUAUAGGUCUUCUUAUAGCUGCUGCCGGUGGACCAUUAAACUCUUGUUAUUUUAUGUAAUCUGAGCGUCUUAUUUUAAUAAGUCAAAACUUUCAACAACGGAUCUCUUGGUUCUGGCAUCGAUGAAGAACGCAGC
This 224-nucleotide unclassified non-coding RNA is filed under the name uncultured fungus. RNAcentral's name for it is "sequence contains ITS1, 5.8S rRNA gene". The stretch from base 176 to 224 matches the Rfam family "5.8S ribosomal RNA", at positions 1 to 49 of the family's 154-position model. The record is from RNAcentral. Lineage: Eukaryota; Fungi.